AAAAAAAGGUCAUACAUGUAGGACAAACUGAUUCAAUAAAUUCAAUAAGCAUUAAUUAAGUACUUACUAUGUGCAAGACUGUAAGAUUCAGUGGACGUGGGGCCAGAUCUGGAGCCAAGGCUACCAAGUUUUGGUUCUUCUAACUCUGGCUGGGCACUCUAGGACAAGUCACUUAGCUCAAACAUUCUAAAUUGCAGGACAGAAGCCAAUCUGCAUAAGCUUCCUCUUUGGAAACUCCCUACUCUUUGGACCCAAGAAAGGUGUAAAACACUGCUUUAGGGUGGGGGCAGGGGGCUAUAAAGAUAAAAACCAAAACAGCUCCGGCCUUUAAAGAGAUUCCAUUCUACUGAGGUGGAGCUAGGGGAGGUUAAAGAGAAGAGAGAUGCUGUGUAAACAAAUGCCAGGUCCCAAAUAAGGAAAAGCCUUUACUUAUACCUUCCAAAGGCCCUUUGGGGAAGUUGGAGAAGAGGAGUAGACUUUCUGAGCUUCCUGUUCCUGGAUCAGAUUCCUCUAACUCACUAGGGAAAUGCAAGGUCCAAGAAGAAAGACUUCUGGAGGCUGAGACAGAAGACAGAGCUGGAAGGAAACAAACAAUUGGUGGGAAGGAAUAGUGGGCCUGAGACCUGGCUGGGCUUAUACCCUUGAAAUAAAUACUUAGCAGAGCUGUACCACACAGGAAAAACACAAAGUGGAAUUCUCAUGGGCAUUGUGCUAGAGUUGGAUGCAGGAAUGAGAGGAAAUCCUAGUCUCUAGAAUAGACAAAGCAUCUAUGGGAACGUUCUUCCACCCCUGAGAAAAAACAUCACUUGGAGGGAGGGUUAGGGUAUAGAUUGGGUUGAGGUAGCAAGAGAUGGGGGAUACAACAGAAAUUCUGUUAGAGAAGCUGAGACAAAUAACCAAUACCCCGCUUGGCCUCUUGGCUGCUUCGAGCCAUCUGCUGGGAGCUGAGAAGAACUUCAGGAAGAGUGACUGUACAACACAACGUGGAGACACCUGCAUCCAUCGCAUACUAUGGGUGGUUGAACUUAUUGGUUCACAGAUAAUCAUCCAGCCUCUGCAUAAAAUACGUUGUAUGAAAUCACCUGCACCGGACAAAAAGUAAAUAUUUUUCCUGGAAAUCACCAUGAGGGUCAUUGCACAAUUUGGAACCUGGCAAGAGUAUCUACAGGAAGAAAUACCUCUGCAAAUCUGCCUUAGAAACAAGGUGGGAGUGUCUAUCCAUCUCAGCUACUAUUAACAACUGACACUGAAGUUAAAACUCCAAGAUG
Molecule: long non-coding RNA, 1268 nt
Filed under: Phascolarctos cinereus (koala)
Lineage: Eukaryota; Metazoa; Chordata; Mammalia; Diprotodontia; Phascolarctidae
Description: lncRNA (ENSPCIG00000021167.2)
Source: RNAcentral